Molecule: long non-coding RNA, 699 nt
Organism: Hemicordylus capensis (graceful crag lizard)
Lineage: Eukaryota; Metazoa; Chordata; Lepidosauria; Squamata; Cordylidae
Exons: 2
Source: RefSeq, a predicted model, not a curated record
AAGACUGAUGACAGUUGAGGAGAGGGGCAGUUUAAAUCAGCUGAUGGUUGGAGCAGGAAAGGAGAGAUUAAGAAAAGGAAUAUGGAGCUGAAAGCUUGUUUGGGACCUUAUUUCUUGAACUGAUGGGAUUUCUCUGAUAGUGAGAGGGUGAAAGAUACCAGAUUUUUGUUCAAGGAGAGCUCUGAGGGAAUGAUCAGAGGAAAAGAGGGGUGGGGGGAUAAAAGGACAAACUAGGCACCAUUCAUACAAGAAUACUGAGGGAGAAGGAAGAAAAGGACUGAUUCUUAAGACGACUGUCUCCAGAUAAUCUCUUGGGCUAAACUUCUUUUCCACCAGAGCAUACUCUGCUGCGUGAGAAUUGUAAUGUUCCUCCUCACACCCCUCAACAAAGACUACUUAGAAGUCACAUCACUGGCCUUGGAAUCCAUUCACUGACAUCACAGAGGUUGGCAACUGGCUGCAGUUACUGAAGGAAAGAAACCGCACAUGGACCACUCUGCACAUGGACAAAGGCACAGGUUUCUUACAUAUAUCAAGGCUGAGCAUGGAGAUUCCAAAUUAAGCCCCAAGUGCCAUAGAUUAAAUUAAAUGUUGUUGUGGCAAGAUGCCCAAUAGGGUUAUUUUUCACCUACACCCAUACUAAGAAAAAUGAAUCUUAUAUGGCAUGACCAAUAUACUUGUUCCUUUGUUAUUCGCUCA